Molecule: small nucleolar RNA, 133 nt
Organism: Hyla sarda
Lineage: Eukaryota; Metazoa; Chordata; Amphibia; Anura; Hylidae
Product: small nucleolar RNA SNORA13
Exons: 1
Source: RefSeq, a predicted model, not a curated record
UGCCUUUGUGUUGCCCAUUUGCUAUACAAAUGGUGAAUGUGGUGUCAGAAAAGGCAGAAAUAAAACCCCAGCAUAGCCUGCCGCACUUUUGGGGUGUUCUCCUCCUCAGGUGCAUGGCUGUGCUGGAAUAAGU